UACGAGGGGGGCAAGCGUUGUUCGGAAUUAUUGGGCGUAAAGGGCGCGUAGGCGGUGCGGUAAGUCACCUGUGAAAUCUCUCGGCUCAACCGAGAAACGUCGGCUGAUACUGCCGUUCUUGAGGGAUGCAGAGGAGACUGGAAUUCCCGGUGUAGCGGUGAAAUGCUUAGAUAUGACAUAGAACACCAAUUGCGAAGGCAGCUCACUACACAAUCAUUGACGCUGAGGCACGAAAGCGUGGGGAUCAAACAGG
This 253-nucleotide ribosomal RNA is filed under the name uncultured bacterium. Its description in RNAcentral is "partial 16S ribosomal RNA". It matches the Rfam family "Bacterial small subunit ribosomal RNA", at positions 524 to 776 of the family's 1533-position model. The record is from RNAcentral.